AGGACGAACGCUGGCGGCGUGCUUAACACAUGCAAGUCGAGCGGAAAGGCCCUUCGGGGUACUCGAGCGGCGAACGGGUGAGUAAUACGUGGGUAACCUGCCCCUUGCUCUGGGAUAACUCCGGGAAACCGGGGCUAAUACCGGAUAUGACACUCGCAGGCAUCUGCUGGGUGUGGAAAGUUUUUCGGCGAGGGAUGGGCCCGCGGCCUAUCAGCUUGUUGGUGGGGUGAUGGCCUACCAAGGCGGUGACGGGUA
This 255-nucleotide ribosomal RNA is filed under the name uncultured bacterium. RNAcentral describes it as "partial small subunit ribosomal RNA". It matches the Rfam family "Bacterial small subunit ribosomal RNA", at positions 26 to 285 of the family's 1533-position model. The record is from RNAcentral.